GAGGGUUCGGGUCAGUUGUGCCUUUUCUUUGAUAUGCUUUUUCCUUCUUCCAAGCCUCAAAUUGUCGAACCCUUCUUGGGUGAACCAUGGUUCCAAAAGCAUUUACUAGUUUCAACAUCUGAACUGAAUUUCUCCGCGACUCUCUAGCCACAAGCACCGAAAUGCAUCCAGAAUUGCUCUAUUUGGCCGAUAAUGAAAGCUUGGUUAUCUCUACUGAAUUGGCCAUUGAUGUUGAAAGAGUCGUCCGGGUAGUAAAGCCAAAUAAUUUUGUGGAGCUUUGAAGAAAUGAGAGUAAUCACAGUUAGCAGCUACGCG
Molecule: long non-coding RNA, 315 nt
Filed under: Panax ginseng (ginseng)
Lineage: Eukaryota; Viridiplantae; Streptophyta; Magnoliopsida; Apiales; Araliaceae
Description: long non-coding RNA (PGIN_LNC011768)
Source: RNAcentral